UCAUUUACCCAUACCCUUUUUUUUAAUCAAUAUAGCCAUUCGUCUUUUUUAUAAUGUCGUUGCAACUUCAAUCAAAUUUAUUAAAUACCCAACAAAGUUUUGUUAUUUUCAAUAUCGGUGAGACAUCAUAGUAUGGUCCUCCUAGGUUACGUAAGCCAAUCUACGACCGUCCACGGUAAUGGAUGAAUCGAAUACUUUAGGCAACGUCUCCAUCGUUCCCCAAAAGAGCUAUAGUGUAGAAUCUACAUAUCAUCUAGAUGCUCUCAAACAGCGUAUAGACCAUAGAAAUGAUAUAUUUAAUAGCCUCGAAUCUUGCAAAACAUUCCUCCAAAUUACUUUAUAGCCUUAAUUUUUUGUUCUUUUGCAAUGAUAGGGAAAUGAAAAUGAUAAAUUUCAAAGACUAAUUGAUUCCAAAUUCGAAUCACAUGGAGCCAAACCGGUUCGUCUUUUGAGAUAAGUCUUUGCAUUAUAACUGUAAACACGGGAUAUAUCUCUCAU
Molecule: long non-coding RNA, 498 nt
Filed under: Eucalyptus grandis
Lineage: Eukaryota; Viridiplantae; Streptophyta; Magnoliopsida; Myrtales; Myrtaceae
Description: long non-coding RNA (EGRA_LNC002151)
Source: RNAcentral